RNAcentral lists this ribosomal RNA (468 nucleotides) under uncultured bacterium. RNAcentral describes it as "partial 16S ribosomal RNA". It matches the Rfam family "Bacterial small subunit ribosomal RNA", at positions 28 to 507 of the family's 1533-position model. The record is from RNAcentral.
GACGAACGCUGGCGGCGUGCUUAACACGUGCAAGUCGAACGGAAAGGCCCUGCUCUUGUGGGGUGCUCGAGUGGCGAACGGGUGAGUAACACGUGAGUAACCUGCCCUUGACUUUGGGAUAACUUCAGGAAACUGGGGCUAAUACCGGAUAGGAGCUCCUGCUGCAUGGUGGGGGUUGGAAAGUUUCGGCGGUUGGGGAUGGACUCGCGGCUUAUCAGCUUGUUGGUGGGGUAGUGGCUUACCAAGGCUUUGACGGGUAGCCGGCCUGAGAGGGUGGCCGGCCACAUUGGGACUGAGAGACGGACCAGACUCCUACGGGAGGCAGCAGUGGGGAAUAUUGCACAAUGGGCGGAAGCCUGAUACGGCAACGCCGCGUGCGGGAUGACGGCCUUCGGGUUGUAAACCGCUUUCGCCUGUGACGAAGCGUGAGUGACGGUAAUGGGUAAAGAAGCACCGGCUAACUACGUG